UUUGGUAUAAAUAUCCAACACCUGAAUUUUAAUUAAGACAGUGUUGUAACUUCACAAGGAUUGAUGAAUUACACAUCUGUUAAUCCUACGCUACUGCUUGAUUUGGAUAUACUCUCCUAGUUUUUCCAUGUAAUAAAGGCAGUAGGGUUGACAGAGGGACGGACAAACAGACUCCGGGUUAACGGUAGGUGAUUCUUUAGUAUCUCUCUUCUCUGCAGAGGACACAACAGCACCAAAAAGCAGUCGACAACAUGAAGAGCGUGUGUAAAGUUCUAACCCCGUACAGAAGACGCCAGGGAAUAUAUGUUUUCUUUCUUAUAACAAUUGUCAUUUUCUUCACUCUGUUUUCUAAAGGUAAGUUGUUAAAAAAAAUUACGGUAAAUUUCUAUCUUUUAUAUAAUAAAAUUCUUGGAAGACUUGGAAGACUUGGUCUCCAAAAACCACAUACAUGUAGAUAUUAUCAGUCAGAAACUCGGGAAUCUUUUUAAUAUCAACUUCAGAGUACCUCUGUGUACAACCAGAUUGUUUUUAACAAAGUAAUUUAACAAAUAACCAAUGACAAGGUACUGAGUAUAUAAUUUUCCGAGAUCCAUUUUUAUUGAAAAAGCAGCUGUCAAUUAUGCCAAAAAGCCUGGACUUUAAUUUAUC
This is a long non-coding RNA of Saccostrea cuccullata (small rock oyster), 648 nucleotides long. RefSeq lists it as uncharacterized. The record is from RefSeq and is a predicted model, not a curated record. The transcript has 3 exons. NCBI's taxonomy places the organism in Eukaryota, Metazoa, Mollusca, Bivalvia, Ostreida, Ostreidae.